Oncorhynchus masou masou (cherry salmon) is the source of this 103-nucleotide small nuclear RNA. The record is from RefSeq and is a predicted model, not a curated record. Lineage: Eukaryota; Metazoa; Chordata; Actinopteri; Salmoniformes; Salmonidae.
GUACUCGCUUUGGAGCACAUAUACUAAAAUUGGAUCGAUACAGAGAAGAUUAGCAUGGCCUCACCGAAGGAUGACCACGCAUAUGUGAGCGCUCCUUAUUUUC